RNAcentral lists this unclassified non-coding RNA (325 nucleotides) under Ascomycota sp. RNAcentral describes it as "partial contains small subunit ribosomal RNA and internal transcribed spacer 1". The stretch from base 1 to 47 matches the Rfam family "Eukaryotic small subunit ribosomal RNA", at positions 1785 to 1831 of the family's 1831-position model. Lineage: Eukaryota; Fungi; Ascomycota. The record is from RNAcentral.
AAAGUCGUAACAAGGUUUCCGUAGGUGAACCUGCGGAAGGAUCAUUAAAAGUUAGCGUCCGAGUGCGGCCUUUACGGCCAAACUUGUGACUGCAAAACCAUGUGUUGUUGAACUGUGUAUUGCUGGCGGGAGAUAAAGGUGGAUCCCUUGAGGUCGUGCCUUUGGCGUGGUUGGACGACGGAACGGUCGUCUAUCGCGCAGCCCGCCGGCCGUAUUAAACAAAGACUAAAUAUUUUGACUGAUAUAAAUACAUUGAUAGCCGCGUCUUGCUCGCAAGAUAAGGCACUAAUCGAUACAACUGUUAGCCACGGAUCACUCGGUUCUC